AUUGAACGCUGGCGGCAUGCUUUACACAUGCAAGUCGAACGGUAACAGGCCUUCGGUUGCUGACGAGUGUCGGACGGGUGAGUAAUGCAUCGGAACGUGCCCAGAGGUGGGGGGUAACGCAGCGAAAGCUGUGCUAAUACCUCAUGUGAUCUGAGGUUGAAAGCGGGGGACCAGGCAGCAAUGUUUGGCCUCGCGCCUUUGUAGCGGCCGAUGUCAGAUUAGGUAGUUGGUGGGGUAAAGGCCUACCAAGCCGACGAUCUGUAGCUGGUCUGAGAGGACGACCAGCCACACUGGGACUGAGACACGGCCCAGACUCCUACGGGAGGCAGCAGUGGGGAAUUUUGGACAAUGGGCGCAAGCCUGAUCCAGCAAUGCCGCGUGCGGGAAGAAGGCCUUCGGGUUGUAAACCGCUUUUGUACGGAACGAAAAGGCUCUGGCUAAUACAUGGGGCUGAUGACGGUACCGUAAGAAUAAGCACCGGCUAACUACGUG
This 492-nucleotide ribosomal RNA is filed under the name uncultured bacterium. RNAcentral describes it as "partial 16S ribosomal RNA". It matches the Rfam family "Bacterial small subunit ribosomal RNA", at positions 30 to 507 of the family's 1533-position model. The record is from RNAcentral.